Molecule: ribosomal RNA, 369 nt
Filed under: uncultured eukaryote
Lineage: Eukaryota
Description: bacterial SSU rRNA
Rfam family: Eukaryotic small subunit ribosomal RNA
Source: RNAcentral
CAAUAGCGUAUAUUAAAGUUGUUGCGGUUAAAAAGCUCGUAGUUGGAUUUCUGCCGAGGACGACCGGUCCGCCCUCUGGGUGAGUAUCUGGCUUGGCCGUGGCAUCUUCUUGGAGAACGUAGCUGCACUUGACUGUGUGGUGCGGUAUCCAGGACUUUACUUGAAAAAGUUAGAGUGUUCAAAGCAGGCAAUCGCUUGAAUACAUUAGCAUGGAAUAAUAGAAUAGGACUUUGGUUCUAUUUUAGUUUGGUUUGCUAGGACCGAAGUAAUGAUUAAUAGGGACAGUUGGGGCGAUUAGUAUUUCAUUGUCAGAGGUGAAAUUCUCAGACCAACGGAAGACGAACCACUGCGAAAGCAUUUGCCAGGGAU